AUGAAUAAGAUAUCAACACGACUAAGCCAUUUACAUUAAAGCACAAGACCUAUUCACAAAUUGCACAUUUGUAUGUUUAGGUUCUCGAACCUUCAAUUUCUGUCUCUCUGAAGCCAAGAAAUCAAUCUAUUAAUAUUAAAUUUUGUAUCAAUUAUUGAUAAUUGGAAUACCUUUUAAUUCAUUUUUGUGCAACACCACCAUUUGAAUCUACAACUCCGACUACCUCUACAACAAAGCCUCCAAAACAUGUGCUCUAUUUGCAGCAGAGCCGUUGUUUGUCCAACUGAGCAGCGGCACCUCCUCCAGCAGAAAUUGGGUGUGCUAAGGGAAUCUACCGUGAGAGGAAGUUAAGCAGAUCUGUCGUCCCUGGAAGAGGCGGCACGACGGCAAUUCACAGUCGGAGGAUGAUACGAUUAUAUCAAUGGAAUUUAAGAGUUCAAUACCGAAAAAUAGUCAAGAAUAGAAAAGAGAGAAGAGGCAAUUUUGAUGAAAUUAUUUAAAAGAUUUCAGAAGAUGCAUGCUGAUGAAGGAAUUUAUUUGGGCAAGAAAGAUAGUCAUUAUUCUAAAUUUAUAGAAUUACUUCUUUAAUUUAAUUAGCCACAAAAGUAAUUAGUUUUUUUUUUUUUUUGAGGGAAUCAAAAGUCAUUAGUUUGUGGGCUAAGGGUUCUAUUAUUUUGUUUUAUUUUCUUGGUCCAUAAACUAAAAGUGACGGCUAGGUUGGUAUAUGGUGAAAAGGAGUUUUAUUUUUGUAGGGAGAUUAAUUUUUUUGCUUGAGGAGCUCUCCGUAGGAAUUGGGCAGUAGAGAAUUAAACCAUCUUGGCGGCGGUAGUGGAAAUCUGGCAACGAGAACAAUUCCUUUGAGAGAUUAACUUGUUUCCUUUGUUUUAUUUUCUUUCGUAGUUUAGAAUUGUUAUUAGAUUUCGAUAGUUGGAUUAUUAUUUCUGGUAGCAAUAUUUCGGCUCUUUCAAUUCUUAGAUAUUUAUUACUCUCUUCGUCCCACUUUAAUAGGCUCGUUUGUAAAUUUUUUUAAUCUCUGUGCCCAAAAGAAGUGAGCCUAUUAGAGUGGACAGAGGGAGUAUGUUUUAUAUUUAUUUCAUUUUGUUUAAUUUCAUUCGCACGAGUAGUUAAUUUCUUGAUUCGGUGAGAAUAAUGAAGCACUGGUCUAAAAUCUGUGAGAUCUAAUAGUGUGUUUACUUAAUUUAAUUGUAUUUUGAUUUGUUCCAUGAGCAGAGUGCUUUAAUCUGGUUUUCUUGAGCUUUGUCACCUUAGGUUAAUUCAGAUUAGUGUCAAUUAGUUCUCACAAUCCGUAAUUGUUGAAAUCGGACUAAUUAGUGACGAAGCUAUCGUACUGGUAGUAGGAAAUAAAUUGGUAGACGAAUUAUUACUUGCGUUUCUUGGGUAAUUUAUCUAAAUUGGGUUCCUUCAGCUUAUUGCUAUUGAAACAUUAAAUCCAUGUCUGAUGUCAAUAGUUAUGUUGUGUUUUAAUAAGAGAAAUAGUUAGGUCUGGCGCCUACAGCUAACUAUCGAUAAAGUAAAUGGAAUUAAGGUAUGUCCGCUGCAUUCACGGUAUCUUAUGACUGGUUGGUUCAUAAGAAUUAAUUUAUCUCUGCGUCUAUAAUCAGAGUAGUGACUAGUGUGGAUUUAUUCAAACCGAGUCCGUUUUUAUUCUUGAUUUAUCUCUUAUUUGCUAUUUUAGUUGUUUUUCUUAGUUUAUAGUUAAUCUCUCCAAUUUAAGGCGUGAUGGCUACACCAAACUCGAUCUUUAGAAAAUUGAGUGCAUUUACUUUUCUCUGUGGUUCGACCCUACUUAUUACUAUACUAAUUUAAUUCUUGGUAGGAUUACAGGAAUCAUUUUAUUGUGUACGACGUUCACCAGUGGGGCUUUUCGAGCAAGCCCAAACUCCAGAAAUAUAGAGAAACAAAGAUGAAAAUGGGCCAUUCAGCCUACACUCCAUUUGCAAAAUAAAAAUUCUAAUUCAUUUCAUUCAUAGUUCCUAAAAAUAGAGAUGCUACAUAUAUAUAACUAUAAUUACUUAUUAGCUAUUAACCAUGCAUUUCUUAAA
Long non-coding RNA from Salvia miltiorrhiza (redroot sage), 2063 nucleotides. RefSeq lists it as uncharacterized. The record is from RefSeq and is a predicted model, not a curated record. NCBI's taxonomy places the organism in Eukaryota, Viridiplantae, Streptophyta, Magnoliopsida, Lamiales, Lamiaceae. The transcript has 2 exons.